CAGGGAGACAAAAACUGAUCGUGAUGUCUGAGCUUUUAUUCUUAGGCCAUGAUCCUGUCACCUUAGGUCGAUCGGUACCUCAAUUUUUUCAAUUUUCUUGGAAAACUUCAGUUCCUAAACUUUGUCUAGGUCACACCCAGCAAGGGUACUCCUGGGCCAUUAGCUCAGGUGGUUAGAGCGCACCCCUGAUAAGGGUGAGGUCCCUGGUUCAAGUCCAGGAUGGCCCAUUCGGUGUUGGGGGUAUAGCUCAGUUGGUAGAGCGCCUGCUUUGCAAGCAGGAUGUCAGCGGUUCGAGUCCGCUUACCUCCACUGAUCACACUCCUGAUAGCCAAUUAAAGGAGAUUCCUUUUGCUUGUUGUGAAUUAGUCCUGUUUAUCUGAAUGACCGACCCUAGCUUCUUAUCAUUCCUACUUAAAAUUAUUUUUGUUAGGUUGAAAUGAAGCUGGGCUCACUUAAAUUCUUUUGAAUUUUAGUAAGUCUCAGUAGAACCUUGAAAACUGCAUAGAUAGUCUGGAAAAAUAAAGCAUCUCAUGGAUGCAUUAUUUUGGAUCUUAAAGCAAGUUAUGCUUAGGCUUUUCUUGUUUUAUUUAUUCAAUUAAUAAUGUUUAUUUCUUGAGUCAAGAGCCGAGACUCUAUAGAAAAUUAUUUAUUCUAUAGAGAUUAAUU
RNAcentral lists this transfer RNA (666 nucleotides) under uncultured cyanobacterium. RNAcentral's name for it is "partial miscellaneous RNA". The stretch from base 237 to 309 matches the Rfam family "tRNA". Lineage: Bacteria; Bacillati; Cyanobacteriota. The record is from RNAcentral.